GAUGAACGCUGGCGGCGUGCUUAACACAUGCAAGUCGAACGGAAAGGCCCAAGCUUGCUUGGGUACUCGAGUGGCGAACGGGUGAGUACCACGUGGGUGAUCUGCCCCGCACUUCGGGCUAAGCCUGGGAAACUGAGUGUAAUAACGGAUAGGUCAGAGGGCUGGAUGCCAUAGUGGAGAGUUUUUUCGGUGUGGGAUCGGCGCGCGGCCUAUCAGGUUGUUGGUGGGGUAAUGGUUUACCAAGGCGUCGGCGGGUAGCCGGCCCGGGAGGGUGAACGGGCACAGUGGGAUUGAGACUCAGCCCAGACCCCAACGCGUGGGAGAAGCGGGGGAGAGUGAUCAAGGGGCGUAAGGGAGACGCUGCGGCGGCGCGGGGGGGAGAGUGGAGUUGUGGUUGGGUAUUCCUUGCGCUAGGGACGAAGCGGAAUGUGACGGUACCUAGAGAAGAAGCACCGGCUAACUACGUG
Molecule: ribosomal RNA, 467 nt
Filed under: uncultured bacterium
Lineage: Bacteria
Description: partial 16S ribosomal RNA
Rfam family: Bacterial small subunit ribosomal RNA
Source: RNAcentral